AUUAGAUUAAUGAGUGAGAAAGAGAGCGUGAGUGAAAAAUCAUCUCUUCUCUCACAGAUUAUCUUUUUUUUUAUAUACCAGAUCAGUUUUUUUUAAAAAAAAAAUAAGCGUGAACUAAAUCAUCAUUACUUCUCUGAUAAACCAGAUUUCAUUACUUCUUCUGCCAGCGUCCUUUCAUCUUCCAAGAAAUAUUUUCUUCCAAAUCUUCUCAAAAUCUCCCAUCUCUCCAGACUAAAAAUCCCUGCAAUCAUUUCACUCUUCUCUUCCUUUAAUAUAUAUAUCCUCCUUCCCUCACUCAAAGUUCUUUUCACUGUUCCUGCACAAUUAUCCUCCAGACAACAGAACUUGGAAAAAGAACUGAAUCAGUUAAGCCAAAACAACAAAGACACCAAAAAUCCUCUUACUAAAAAGGUUCGUUCCUUCCCCUUUUUAUUAUAGAACUUGCAUUACUCUUUAGCAUAGCACCAUUACAAGAACAUAGAUCUCUAGCUCUUAUACCACAUCAAUGACCAUGAUAUAAUCUUACUCUAUGUACUGCUCUAAACAAAACAAAGAAAAAAAAAAGAAAGGGAGAAGAAUCUGUAACAAACCAAGAACUCUUUCAUAGCCUCAAAAAUUCUGAACUUCAACUCCAAGACUCAAUUUUUUUUAUCCCAAGAACUUGCUCUUCAUUUCAACCUACAAGUAUCGAUUCUUUCUCCUUGAUUGGGACGGGUCUGGAACGUGAGUGUGUGAGGAGUGGAUUUUCUGUCCCCUCGAUGGCUGCCGGAGAAGACGGCCGGGCAGAGGCGAGGUAGCGCGAAGAACGCCGGCGCCGGAGGGAAGGAGAUGAAGGCUGCAGCUCCUCCCCCUCUUUGACCGCUGCUGCCAGAGGAUUCAGGAGGAGGGAC
Long non-coding RNA from Salvia miltiorrhiza (redroot sage), 890 nucleotides. RefSeq lists it as uncharacterized. The record is from RefSeq and is a predicted model, not a curated record. The transcript is spliced from 2 exons. Lineage: Eukaryota; Viridiplantae; Streptophyta; Magnoliopsida; Lamiales; Lamiaceae.